Molecule: long non-coding RNA, 488 nt
Organism: Gossypium arboreum
Lineage: Eukaryota; Viridiplantae; Streptophyta; Magnoliopsida; Malvales; Malvaceae
Exons: 2
Source: RefSeq, a predicted model, not a curated record
AAAAGCUAUCAUUUUUUUUCCAUUCUUUCUUCUUCAACCGUGGGAAAGAACUGCAAAUGGCAGCCAUGGAUGAGCUCCAUUCAGCCAAGCUUCUAUGGCUUAUAUAGAGUUCCAGGUUAGCUCGGGUUGGAAGCCGUCAGAGAUAUUAUCACCCUAUCGAGUUAACGUUAUCGGAGUAAGUAAACUCAAGUGAUUCGAGUCUAUGGCAUGUAUAGGGUUUUAAUGUGAGUAUGUAAUAUUAUGAUUUAGCCAAAGGCAUUGGCUUGUUAUUAAGGUAGUAUUAGUCAUGUAAAUUGGCCUAUGUCGGCUAAUGACGUUAUGGGCCUAUAUGAUUAUUCUUAUGCAUUUAUGUUAUUAUUUCUUGUGAUGUGGCUUACAACAUGUAUGCCUAGAGAUUGAAUUGAGAUUCAUUGAUGAGCUAGUAACUAAUGCAGGAUUAAGUGAUUGGUAAAUAGUUAAUAAUGCUUCAUGAAUGGUUUGUGAUGUAA